CAACCUUCUGUUGACACGAGCUUAGGAUUGAGGAAAUGUGAUGGUUAAUUACCCAUUUGAUCUCAAAACUCAUCAAACAGUACUAACCUUAGAUGUCAAAUCUGCUUCGAGCUCUAAAACCUAAAGAUUUGCAACUAUUAGGGCCAGAAGCAGUGGUCAUUUUUUAUGGAUGCACCUAAUAGGCGGCCACCGUUACCUCCUAUGAAGAGACAGAUUUUAUAUCCAUGCUUUCGUCUUGAUUCGAACCUGUGCUCUUCGAUGCUGCAGUCAGAGUCACUAAUCACAUUCCCAUCUGGACGGCACUAUUCUAAAAUUGUAUCACAUGAGUCUUUUAAAGGAGAAAGUGGUUAACGAUUCUGUCUGCCGUACCGAAGGGUUCGAAUCCUCCCGGAGACGACAUGGAUGUAAAUUGUCUAUCCCUUCAUAGGAGCCAACGGUGGACCAGGAAUUAUGUGCAUCCAUAAUAAAAUGACCACCGCUUCCGGUCUUAGUAUUGGCCAGGCCAACGCCUAUAACGCCUAGUGCCUGGAACUGGUAAUUAAAAAAACUACGUUAUCACAUGAAAUUUGAAUACUAAUAUAACUUACUUGCAUGCCGCUUAGCGUUUUGAGACUAAUAUAUGAAACAUGUUAUGAUAAAUCUACGAAAUUUAUCAGAAAGUUGCUGUUAAGUUUCAGAAGUAGUGAAAUUUUUAAAAGUAGCUUAAUGCAUUUCAUAUGCAACAAUUAUGUUAGUUUACAAUAAUUAACUUUAUAAUGUCUGU
Long non-coding RNA from Stegodyphus dumicola, 763 nucleotides. RefSeq lists it as uncharacterized. The record is from RefSeq and is a predicted model, not a curated record. NCBI's taxonomy places the organism in Eukaryota, Metazoa, Arthropoda, Arachnida, Araneae, Eresidae.